GGCAACCUGCUGCGGUCUUCUUCCACACUGUGGAAGCUCUGUUCCUUCGCUCUUUGCAAUAAAUCUUGCUACUGCUCACUCUUCGGGUCCAUACUGUUUUUAUGAGCUGUAACACUCACCGCGAAGAUCUGCAGCUUCACUCCUGAAGCCAGCGAGACCACAAGCCCACUGGGAGGAGCGAACAACUCCAGACGCGCCGCCUUAAGAGCUGUAACACUCACUGCAAAGGUCUGCAGCUUUACUCCUGAGCCAGCGAGACCGUGAACCCACCAGAAGGAAGAAACUCUGAACACAUCCAAACAUCAGAAGGAACAAACUCCAGACGUGCCACCUUAAAAGCUGUAACACUCACCGC
Molecule: long non-coding RNA, 355 nt
Filed under: Homo sapiens (human)
Lineage: Eukaryota; Metazoa; Chordata; Mammalia; Primates; Hominidae
Description: HSALNT0328579
Source: RNAcentral